This 189-nucleotide ribosomal RNA is filed under the name Salmonella enterica. RNAcentral describes it as "partial 16S ribosomal RNA". It matches the Rfam family "Bacterial small subunit ribosomal RNA", at positions 1 to 183 of the family's 1533-position model. The record is from RNAcentral. Lineage: Bacteria; Pseudomonadati; Pseudomonadota; Gammaproteobacteria; Enterobacterales; Enterobacteriaceae.
AAAUUGAAGAGUUUGAUCAUGGCUCAGAUUGAACGCUGGCGGCAGGCCUAACACAUGCAAGUCGAACGGUAACAGGAAGCAGCUUGCUGCUUCGCUGACGAGUGGCGGACGGGUGAGUAAUGUCUGGGAAACUGCCUGAUGGAGGGGGAUAACUACUGGAAACGGUGGCUAAUACCGCAUAAUGUCGCA